GAUGAACGCUGGCGGCGUGCCUAAUACAUGCAAGUCGAGCGAACAGACGAGGAGCUUGCUCCUCUGACGUUAGCGGCGGACGGGUGAGUAACACGUGGAUAACCUACCUAUAAGACUGGGAUAACUUCGGGAAACCGGAGCUAAUACCGGAUAAUAUAUUGAACCGCAUGGGUCAAUAGUGAAAGUCGGUUUUUCUGUCACUUCUAGAUGGAUCCGCGCCGGAUUAGCUAGUUGGGAAGGUAACGGCUUUUCAAGGGAACGAUGCGUAACCGACCUGAGAGGGUGAUCGGCCACACUGGAACUGAGACACGGUCCAGACUCCUACGGGAGGCAGCAGUAGGGAAUCUUCCGCAAUGGGCGAAAGCUUGACGGAGCAACGCCGCGUGAGUGAUGAAGGUCUUCGGAUCGUAAAACUCUGUUAUUAGGGAAGAACAAAUGUGUAAGUAACUAUGCACGUCUUGACGGUACCUAAUCAGAAAGCCACGGCUAACUACGUG
This 497-nucleotide ribosomal RNA is filed under the name uncultured bacterium. RNAcentral's name for it is "partial 16S ribosomal RNA". It matches the Rfam family "Bacterial small subunit ribosomal RNA", at positions 28 to 507 of the family's 1533-position model. The record is from RNAcentral.